UGUGUAGGUGGCUGAGCAAGUCGUUGAUGAAAUACCGAGGCUCACCCUCGGAACUGUCUUCGAAACUGCUCAGCUUGAGGAUAGUUGAGGAGAACGGAAUUCCCGGUGGAGCGGUGAAAUGCGUAGAUAUCGGGAGGAACACCAGAGGCGAAGGCGGUUCUCUGGGCUAUUCCUGACACUGAAACACGAAAGCUAGGGGAGCAAACG
This 207-nucleotide ribosomal RNA is filed under the name uncultured bacterium. RNAcentral describes it as "partial 16S ribosomal RNA". It matches the Rfam family "Bacterial small subunit ribosomal RNA", at positions 568 to 774 of the family's 1533-position model. The record is from RNAcentral.